Long non-coding RNA from Uranotaenia lowii, 436 nucleotides. RefSeq lists it as uncharacterized. NCBI's taxonomy places the organism in Eukaryota, Metazoa, Arthropoda, Insecta, Diptera, Culicidae. The record is from RefSeq and is a predicted model, not a curated record. The transcript is spliced from 4 exons.
UUCAGACGACGUGUUAUUAAUAAACGAGCCUACGCUAGCUGUAUGUGAAGAAUAUCUGCUGCUACUAGAGCCCGGAGGUCGAGUCGCUAAUCAAAGUGCUGACCAAACGAUUGUUAACGGCAAUCAGCACACCUCCUCCAGAAACCUUAUCGGAGUUAGUAGGCGAUCGAUCACAGCGAACGCAAACACAUCGUAGUCCAACUCGAGCGAUGACAAAAAAACGGUCUCAAGUCGCCUCCUGCUUCGGAUACUAUUCAUAUUCUGGCGAACAACAUGAUGAGCGCGACAGAAAGUUGGUGCUUGCAAUUCGAAGUGGCAAACUAUUGUUGGCGAAACGAAACCUGCAUUGUUGGCUCCGUACGCUGCUGGGACAAGAAAGGAUUGGCAAUAGGCUGUUCAUUACUUGAUGCUACUGUUUGGGCGACGAUGUCAGCAG